RNAcentral lists this ribosomal RNA (484 nucleotides) under uncultured bacterium. Its description in RNAcentral is "partial 16S ribosomal RNA". It matches the Rfam family "Bacterial small subunit ribosomal RNA", at positions 28 to 523 of the family's 1533-position model. The record is from RNAcentral.
GAUGAACGCUGGCGGCGUGCUUAACACAUGCAAGUCGAACGGAAACAGGACGAAGCCUAGCGAUUCCUGUUUUAGUGGCGGACGGGUGAGUAACGCGUGGGUAACCUGCCUUACACUGGGGGAUAACAGUUAGAAAUAGCUGCUAAUACCGCAUAAGCGCACAGGGCCGCAUGGCCUGGUGUGAAAAACUCCGGGGGUGUAAGAUGGACCCGCGUCUGAUUAGCUAGUUGGUGAGGUAACGGCCCACCAAGGCGACGAUCAGUAGCCGGCCUGAGAGGGUGAACGGGCGCAUUGGAGCUGAGACACGGCCCAAACUCCUACGGGAGGCAGCAGUGUGGAAUAUUGCACAAUGGGGGAAACACUGAGGCAGCGACGCCGCGUGAGUGAAGAAGUAUUUCGGUAUGUAAAGCUCUAUCAGCAAGGAAGAAAAUGACGGUACUUGACUAAGAAGCCCCGGCUAACUACGUGCCAGCCGCCGCCGUAA